UGAGAUUUAAAGAGCCGCAGUAUACCUGACUGUGCUAAGGUAGCAUAAUCAUUAGUCUUUUAAUUGGAGACUGGUAUGAAUGGUUAAACGAGAAAUCAACUUUUUUUGUUGUAAAGCUUGAAUUUAACUUUUUAGUGAAAAGGCUAAAAUUUUUCAAAAAGACGAGAAGACCCUAUAGAGUUUUAUAAUCAAGGGAAUAUUUCUUUCUUAGAUUUUUAUGAGAGGUAUUUACUGUAGUUAUUUUGUUGGGGCGACAUUUAGAUAUAAAAAACUCUUUAUUUUUAAAACUUUUAUGAAAGGUAAAUUGAUCCUUUAAAAAAGAUCAUAAGAAAAAAUUACCUUAGGGAUAACAGCGUAAUCUUUUUUGAGAGUUCUAAUCGACAAAAAGGUUUGCGACCUCGAUGUUGGACUAAAAUUAAGGCAGGGUGCAGCAGUUCUGCUAUAAGGUCUGUUCGACCUAUAAUUUUUUACACGAUCUGAGUUCAGACCGGCGUAAGCCAGGUUG
RNAcentral lists this ribosomal RNA (505 nucleotides) under Chelonibia testudinaria. Its description in RNAcentral is "partial 16S ribosomal RNA". It matches the Rfam family "Bacterial large subunit ribosomal RNA", at positions 1913 to 2633 of the family's 2925-position model. Lineage: Eukaryota; Metazoa; Arthropoda; Thecostraca; Balanomorpha; Chelonibiidae. The record is from RNAcentral.